GCUGGGCGAGGUGGCACGCGCCUGUAAUCCCUGUGGCUCUGGAGGCUGAGGCAGGAGGAUCUCGAGUUCAAAGCCAGCCUUAGCAAUAACGAGGUGCUAAACAACUCAGCGAGAACCUGUCUCUA
This 125-nucleotide small RNA is filed under the name Marmota monax (woodchuck). Lineage: Eukaryota; Metazoa; Chordata; Mammalia; Rodentia; Sciuridae. The record is from RNAcentral.